Micropterus dolomieu (smallmouth bass) is the source of this 1135-nucleotide long non-coding RNA. RefSeq lists it as uncharacterized. The record is from RefSeq and is a predicted model, not a curated record. Lineage: Eukaryota; Metazoa; Chordata; Actinopteri; Centrarchiformes; Centrarchidae. The transcript has 7 exons.
UAACAGUCCGAUUAACGGGCAACCCACUCUACCUCCUGAGCCACAGCUGCCCCUAUGUAGGAAAGCUGCAAGGAAGAAGAUGAAGCUGUAUUCUCAGCUGCCCUUUGCAACCAGGCAGACAAGAAAGAAAGGGAAGAAUCCUGUUUACUGUCAGUUUGGACUGUAACUACUUCAGGACUGCAGGAGAAGUCAUGGCAGCUAGUCUUGCACAAGGCGUACCUUGCCUUAACUUCAUGCAUGAGUGGUGCAUCAGAUAUCUUUGCUCUGGUGACCCUGACAACAUUCAAGUGUCUGCCAGUGAUGUCACGGAUUUGGAACUGUCACAGCUAAUUGUAAAGCUGUUAUACUUCAAUCCACCAUGAGACUCAUCCUGAUGCUGGACCAGCUCAGAAAAGGCUGCAGCUCUGUGACCUACCAAAGAUCAUGAAGACCCAUCAAGACCUUUGCCAACCACUGUUUGUUACAGAGGAAGAUGCUAAGUGGAUACAGGAGAACAGCCGCCCUGUCUUCCGUGAGAUUGGUUCUGCCAAACACCGCAUGGAAACAAACAUCAUGAACUUUUUCCAGGACUACCUUCAGGAAAUUGAGGAUUCUGGUGUGUUUUAGCCAAUACAGAAUAAAAUAGAGAACAUGAUGGCCCAAGACACAACAAUAUUGCUCCAGAAAGUUGGACGAAUGUAGCGGACAGGGACACAAGCCACUCUGCCAAGUGAAAAGAAGGACUUUGUCAUAAAUGUGAGAUUCCACCAUGACUGUGACACAAAAUUGUCAGCGACGGCAGUCGUACAAUCAUAUUUCCCACAGCGCACCUGAAAACAUUCAGUGAAUUUAAAAAUAUGGUUUAACAACUCAGUCUAAGGGAAAACUACCAAGUAACUGCCAUAAGUCAAAAUAUGCAUUGUAUUAUUUUAUGGGCAUUUUUAUUUGACAACUUCCUGUUUCUGUGAAUAACUUUGUCAUUCAUUGUUACAAAACCAUUGUUUUGUUGUUAGUGAUGGUUCACUUCAAAACCAAAAUGAAUAAUUAAUUUUUUACCUCAUGUUACUCCAAUGUUAAAAUGAACUAAUGUCACAGUAAGCCUUUUGUAACUGGCAUGAUUUGUUGGCAAAUGUUCAACUUCAUUCCAUUAAAUCUU